This 1320-nucleotide long non-coding RNA is filed under the name Homo sapiens (human). RNAcentral's name for it is "long intergenic non-protein coding RNA 1992". Lineage: Eukaryota; Metazoa; Chordata; Mammalia; Primates; Hominidae. The record is from RNAcentral.
GGACUCCGACUACUGAAGGCCCAAGACUCUUGGCGGUCUGAAUCUGGGGUCCCAGCUGCCUUGCCAGGAUGGCAGAUAUCUCUCCACUAAUGCAGGUGUCUUAGAAGUUCCAGUGGCUAGAAUUCCAAGAUCAAGGUGUCAGCAGCAUGGUUCUUUCUGAGAGCUGUGAAGAAGAAUCCGUUCCAUGCCUCUCCCCCAGUUUCUGGUGGUGUGCUGGCAGUCUUUGGCAUUCUUUGGCCUGCAGACGCAUCACCCUAAUCUCAGCCCAGCUCCGGAACGCCUUUCCCAUGUUUGGUGUGUUUUCUACCUAAUGAGUUUUGAUGGAAGUGAAGGCUGUUAUUUACCUCUGGAAGCUAAAAAUACCAGCUCCCUGGUCAUCUCAGAGUUGGUUUCCGAUGCAACUAAAAACAUCAACUGAUAUGAGGUCCAAAAGAUGGAAUUUUAAGCACCAAAGACGCUCCCUUAUGGGCAAAGUCUCAAUAGGACAUCUGCAUGUUCAGUUGAGAUUCUGCUUUCCCCUCAGAUGACAGAAUUAUUGGCAACCAGUUAAAUUGACGCAAUUGGAAACCCAGAAACAUGAUCAACAAAGAUAAGGAGAUGGAGAUACCAGUCACCCCUAUCAAAGUGGCAAGUGGGAGGGGGAUGCUGGUUGGUCUGUCGGAGCUGACGAAGGAAUGGGAUUGGAAUGUUUCUUUUACCAAUUAUGUAAACACAGCCUGGAGUUCCGAGAUGAGUCCAUCUCACUUGCUCAGAACUUUGCCUGGUGAGAGCGGUUACAAGCGAACAAGGUGGAAAUGAAAGAAACCCUGACUUUCCCACUAGGAAGGAAGAGACUGUUCCUUCUUGUGAUGUACUCUGAAGAAAAAUUCUAGGAUUUGGACAGAUUUCUUGGGUUAUAAAACAUGAUUUUCUUCUCUGUUUCUUGGGCUUUUAUAAUGGGUACUGUUGUUUUCUUGCAAAGCUUUAAUGAUUCCAUAAGGACUUGUAUAAAGUUUAUGGGAGAAUUUUCAAUGUAGAUGUGAAUGGCAGAAACCCAAGAAUCUGUGUGAGGUUGAAUAAGAUCCUGUGUCUCCAGAGAGGUCUGAUGGGGAGACACAGAUCUAAAUUUUAAAGGUGGUUUGGGCCUUCUCAAUCAUAUAUUAAGGUCCUUUUAUGUUAUAGAUAAGUAAAUUAAGGCCCAGAAAGAUUAAUAGCCCAAGGUCCCAAGACCUGCUUGAGACCUGUGCCCCAUUUCUGACUAAUAUUCUUCAUGAUAUUGUAUCACUCUGUAUCAAAACCAACCAACCAAUAAAACCAACCAACCAACCAACCAACAGAAAA